AACGCACGAGACCUGCGGACCUGCGGAAGGAUCAUUAAUGAGUUGCAAAACUCCCUAAACCAUUGUGAACCUACCUGUACCGUUCCUUCGGCGGGCGGCGUCAAGCCCUAACCCGUCUCCCUUUACGGGGGAUGGACCCGCCGGAGGCUCCUAAACUCUUAACUUUUGUUGGCAUCUCUGAGUAAAUCAAAAUAAGUCAAAACUUUUAACAAUGGAUCUCU
This 221-nucleotide unclassified non-coding RNA is filed under the name soil metagenome. Its description in RNAcentral is "partial contains 5.8S ribosomal RNA, internal transcribed spacer 2, and large subunit ribosomal RNA". The record is from RNAcentral.